Molecule: unclassified non-coding RNA, 250 nt
Filed under: plant metagenome
Description: partial contains small subunit ribosomal RNA, internal transcribed spacer 1, and 5.8S ribosomal RNA
Source: RNAcentral
GUUGGUGAACCAGCGGAGGGAUCAUUACAGAGUGUAAAAACUCCCAAAACCACUGUGAAUCUACCUUAUUUGGUUGCUUUGGCAGGCGAACCCAGGGCGGGGCCGUAGCUGGCUGCAGCGCCUGCCAGAGGACCUACAACUCCUAUUAUUACAGCUACUCUGAGCCUAAAGAUAAAUAAGUCAAAAUUUUCAAUUGUGGAUCUCUUGGUUCUGGCAUCGAUGAAGAACGCAGCAUCUGACUGACUUGGGA